Molecule: long non-coding RNA, 1459 nt
Filed under: Dasypus novemcinctus (nine-banded armadillo)
Lineage: Eukaryota; Metazoa; Chordata; Mammalia; Cingulata; Dasypodidae
Description: lncRNA (ENSDNOG00000050868.1)
Source: RNAcentral
CGCCGUGGGAAGGGAGCAGAGCACCGCGGUCCCGGGCUGUCCACGCGUGGGCAGGCUGCGCCGCCUCCGGGCUCGGCGGGGGGAACCUGCGGGGUCGGGGGACAGGGGAGGCGGAAGGCGGCACUCGGGCCUCGAACCCUCACCUCGUGCCCCCCGCCGCCUUCCUGUCGCGCAGCCUCCCUCCAUGGCCUCGAGGCCGGCACGCCUGACCACGAAGGCCCCGAGCGGGCAGGCUGCAGAGCUCCCGCCCUCCUGCCGUUCCCACCAGCCCGGGUGGACAGGCUCCCCUCGUCUCAGGAGCAGGAGCCCGGGGCCCCGAGCGCAGCCGGCAGAGCCCAGGCAGCCCCUGCUCCGGCCGAGUGGGCAGGGCUGCGCGUCUUCAGAGGCAGGGCCCGCCCUCGCUGGACAAACUAGAAAGACGCCCGGGUGCCGGCUCGGCAGCCCCCGGGAGCGCGGAGCCCAGGGACGGGCGCUGGACGCUGCUCAGGGCUAGGGCAGGCUGUGUCCAGGGGCCUCGGGGCCGGCCUCCAAGGGCGGCUGCGCUCCCUGGGCCUCCAGGCCCACCUGUCCCAGUGGCAGCCAUCACCCUCCCCAAGGCCUCAGUGGGGCCCGCGGCCAGCACGCCACCUCCAGGACAAAUCCCAGGUCACCUGCGAGUAGGGGGGACGGGCUCCUAGACGACGGGAAGGCACGGUCGUUCCGAUGGCGCCGGGUUCCGUGUUCGCUCGAAGACAGCACGUGCUCUGGGGAGUUCGUGAUGACUUAGUGAAGAGUGCCACCCCCGUGCAGGCUCCUUGAGGUCCUGUGCCUCAGUUUCCCCUUCUGUGGGAAAUGCUGCAGGAGCCUCGGUCAGGCUGAGGUUUGUCGCAAGUGGAGGAAAACCCCAGAAAGCGACAUGGAGAUGCCUGUCUCCCGCGAGGCGCCUGUGGCCGAUCGUGUCAAGGCCCCCGCAUCUCCUGAAGGCGAGCGCGGAGCCCACCUAGCUGUGUGUCGUCCCUCGUGCGGCGCAGCCGUCGCUGCGUGAUGAGCAAACGGACGGUGUUUUCUGGAACUCCCAGAGCCGCGGCCCCAGCGGCUGCACCUGCUCCCACGAGCAGCCCUUUAGUUUGCCGGCGUUGUCCGUAUGGCUCGCCACCUGGGCCGCGGGUUUGGGGUCGCGUGUGCUCCUUGUGGGUGAAAAUGGCGGGGGCUGGGGCACGGGGGUCCCCGAGCCUCCAGAGGUGAAGCCUGAGUGCCGUUUGGGGCCUGGGCUGCCAAGGCGGGCAGUAGGCUGAGCGUGUCUGGGGUGCUCACACAACCCCCAGCCCUGCGCCGGGAGACAAGGACGCGGGCGGGGGGUGACGUGGUCGGGGGAUGAUGCGGGGGGGCGACGUGGACGGGGGUGACGUGGGUGCGGGUGACGUGGGCGGGGGUGACAAGGGCAGAGGGUGAUGCAGGCAGGGGAUGAUGACGGCAGGGG